UAGUGGAGCGAUCUGUCUGGUUAAUUCCGAUAACGAACGAGAUCCCGGCCAUUUAAAUAGUCUCGGUUACUUCGGUAGCUGUUGACUUCUUAAAGGAACCAUGUGGAAACAAUACCACAAGGAAGUGGGGCUAUAACA
RNAcentral lists this ribosomal RNA (138 nucleotides) under uncultured eukaryote. Its description in RNAcentral is "partial 18S ribosomal RNA". It matches the Rfam family "Eukaryotic small subunit ribosomal RNA", at positions 1299 to 1458 of the family's 1831-position model. The record is from RNAcentral.